This 951-nucleotide ribosomal RNA is filed under the name Triticum aestivum (bread wheat). RNAcentral's name for it is "partial small subunit ribosomal RNA". The record is from RNAcentral. Lineage: Eukaryota; Viridiplantae; Streptophyta; Magnoliopsida; Poales; Poaceae.
AUGGCCCGUGAGUCUUCGCCGGCCGCUCGUUCUCCUCCGGCCAAGGGUGACGACGAGGUGGUGUCCCAAAGGACCUUCGAAGGCCAGGGAGAGGUUCAGGAGGCCGUCAGGGUGGCGUCAGAGGAUGAUUCCUCGACCGCCGGACACAUGGGGGAGGAAGCCCCCAUGGGGACUGGCGAUGGGGGCCAUAUACAAUUCGGCCCCCAGCCGAAUACCCUUCCGGAGACCCAUAGGGUUCUGGAGUCAGGCGAGCAGCCUUCCCUGAAAGGAGGAGGGAUGCCUGCUCCGCCGGUGACCUCUAUCCAACCAGAGGCACCGGAUAAUCUGCUGGUAGCGCUACAAGGCGCUUCCAUUGUGGAUGAACACCGUAUCCUUAUGGGUACGGUGAUUGAGAAGGUCCAGUCCGCCAGAAGGGGACUGACCGAAGCCUGCACUAGCCUUCUAACAGGCUUUGAGGCGUCGCUGCUGGCUACUGCCGCUCAUACUGCAGAGGUCUCCGGACUGAAGCAGAAUCUGAAGCGGGCCAAGGAAGAGCUCGACCUCGUGAAGAAGCAGUUGGAGGACAGCCAAGGGGCCAUGACCGAGGUGGCAGUCCUCAAGAAGGCGUUAGCCGAGGCCGAGGACAAAGCGGCCAAGGAAAGCGCCGCGCGCGAGAAGCAGGAGGCUCGGGUCAGCGAGGUCCAGCAAGAGCUCCAGGACGCCGUCAAGAAGUACGAGUCCUUGGAGCAUGAUUCUAAGACUCAGGAGUCCGAGCUUGCCAAGGCCCGCCAGAGCGCACAAGAUGCCCGAACCGAAGCCCAAAGCGCCCUCCAGGAAUCCAGGCGGCCAAGAAGAUUGCGGCGGGGGCGUUUACGGAUCUGCCGCGCAGCAUAUCAGAUGCUGCAGAGUUCUAUCGAGCCGAAGAAGGGAUCUCUACGGAGAAUCUGUUCUGGUCUCAGUACCUUGGACUAG